AAGGUUAUAGCUCAGGGGUAGAGCAUGUGCUUAGCAUGCAAAAUGUCCUGGGUUCAAUCCCAGGUACUUCC
RNAcentral lists this transfer RNA (71 nucleotides) under Camelus bactrianus (Bactrian camel). It matches the Rfam family "tRNA". From Rfam's summary of the family: Transfer RNA (tRNA) molecules are approximately 80 nucleotides in length. Their secondary structure includes four short double-helical elements and three loops (D, anti-codon, and T loops). Lineage: Eukaryota; Metazoa; Chordata; Mammalia; Artiodactyla; Camelidae. RNAcentral also lists the same sequence under 2 other names. The record is from Rfam by way of RNAcentral.